CCUACGGGUGACAGCAGUGGGGGAUAUUGCACAAUGGGGGAAACCCUGAUGCAGCGACGCCGCGUGUGGGAAGACGGUCCUCUGGAUUGUAAACCACUGUCCCCAGGGACGAAGAUGACGGUACCUGGGGAGGAAGCUCCGGCUAACUACGUGCCAGCAGCCGCGGUAAUACGUAGGGAGCGAGCGUUGUCCGGAAUUACUGGGUGUAAAGGGAGCGUAGGCGGGGAUGCAAGUUGGGUGUCAAAACUACCGGCUCAACUGGUAGUCGCACUCAAAACUGCAGCUCUUGAGUGCAGGAGGGGCAGGCGGAAUUCCUGGUGUAGCGGUGAAAUGCGUAGAUAUCAGGCGGAACACCGGUGGCGAAGGCGGCCUGCUGGACUGCAACUGACGUUGAGGCCCGAAAGCGUGGGGAGCAAACAGGAUUAGAUACCCCAGUAGUC
Molecule: ribosomal RNA, 440 nt
Filed under: uncultured bacterium
Lineage: Bacteria
Description: partial 16S ribosomal RNA
Rfam family: Bacterial small subunit ribosomal RNA
Source: RNAcentral